UUGUGAUUGUGCAGAAAAGAACAUGUCAAAGAUAUUCACUGCUGCUGCAGCCUGAUUGAAACAUGUGGAACAGACACAAGCCUAAUCUCAAUCUUGAAGCCCAACCACCCAACUCUCAGCCUGAAGUAGACAUCCUGGCCAGUCUGCAAUCCAUAAGUGAGAAAAAUACAUGCUCGCUGCCAUAAAUUUUGAAAUAAUCAUCUCAACGAAAAGCUGAAGAGAGCCAGCAGUAAAAGGAGAAAGCAAUAGCUAAAAGAAGAAUAGAGAACAAAGCAAAAGUUUGGUGAUUUGUGAGAAAGGCAAUAGGGCUUAGAAGUCACUACAAUCAGCAACUCAUCAUAAGAAACAAGACCAACUUGAGUAAAAAUACAGCAAAAUCAGAAAGUGGCAUCUUUUCUAACAACCUGUAGAAGGUGGCAAGAAUCUAAGCUGAAAUCCUCAUUUAGGCCAUGUUACGGUUUGGAUCUGAGAUGCCUGUCUGCUGCCUGGCUGUUAUGAGGUGAGCAGCUUUCCUCCACCAGGUACCGCCUGCCAUGAUGCCCUGCCCCCAUAGGAAGCCUCUGAAACUGUGAGUCAAAAUAGAUGUUUUCUCCUUUUAAGUUGUUUUUCUCAUGUAUUUGGUCACAGUGACAGAAACCUCAUUAACACAGAAAAUUGGUAUUGAAAAGUGGGGUAUUGCUGACUAUGCCUGACCAUAAGCUUUGGAAGUGGUUUUCAAGAGGAGUUUGGAAACAUUUGGAGAAAAAGACUAAAGAAAGCUUGGAAUAUUUUAAAUGGAGCUUAGGGGAUGAUCCUGGUGGGAGAUCAGAAUGCUGAUAGGACAGUAAAGUCUGUGUUGAUGAAGUUUCAGGUGGAAACGAGGACUCUAUUCAAAAUUGUACCAGAGGCCAUUCGUUGCAUAAUGGCAAAGAAAUGGUCUACCUUUUGUCCAUACCCUGAGACUUGGUUUGUGUGAGGGUGAGUUUAAAGGUAAUAAAUAGAUCAAUAAAUCUGUCAGGAAAUUUCAAGGCAAGACAGGAUUCAGUUAGUGGCAUGGGUGUUAUUGGAUGCUUUUAGGCAGAUUAACAGUGAGAACUGGGAGUGAAAAGCAGAGUAGAAAGAUUUGGAAAAACUUUCAGUUUUUGCCCAGAACAGAUACACAUUUAAAGUUGUGACAAAGGAGGGUUGCUAAAGAGACUAGUAUCAUUAAAAAGAAGACAAGUACUUUGUCUGGGAAAAUAGGAAGAAUGCCUCGAGGAAGCAGAAAAACUCAUUGCAGGGUCAUGAACAUAAAAAUAUAAACUUAUUUGAAAAAUGUUGCUGUAAGAAGAAAGUCUGGGAUGUCCUACUUGCACAGGGCUGCCUAAUGAAUUAUUUUUUGGGA
Long non-coding RNA from Marmota monax (woodchuck), 1363 nucleotides. RefSeq lists it as uncharacterized. The record is from RefSeq and is a predicted model, not a curated record. NCBI's taxonomy places the organism in Eukaryota, Metazoa, Chordata, Mammalia, Rodentia, Sciuridae. The transcript is spliced from 3 exons.